ACGGCUCAGUAACACGUAGUCAAUCUAACAUAUGGACGGGGAUAACCUCGGGAAACUGAGAAUAAUACCCGAUAGAUCAUUAUUCCUGGAAUGGUUUAUGGUCGAAACGAUUUAUCGCCAUAGGAUGGGACUGCGGCCUAUCAGUUUUGUUGGUGAGGUAAUGGCCCACCAAGACUAUUACAGGUACGGGCUCUGAGAGGAGAAGCCCGGAGAUGGGUACUGAGACACGGACCCAGGCCCUAUGGGGCGCAGCAGGCGAGAAAACUUUGCAAUGUGCGAAAGCACGACAAGGUUAAUCCGAGUGGUUUGUGUUAAACGAACCUUUUGACAGUCCUAGAAACACUGUUGAAUAAGGGGUGGGCAAGUUUUGGUGUCAGCCGCCGCGGUAAAACCAGCACCUCAAGUGGUCAGGAUGAUUAUUGGGCCUAAAGCAUCCGUAGCCUGAUCUGUAAGUUUUCGGUUAAAUUUAUGCGCUCAACGUAUAGGCUGCCGGAAAUACUGCAGAUCUAGGGAGUGGGAGAGGUAGACGGUACUCGGUAGGAAGGGGUAAAAUCCUUUGAUCUAUUGAUGACCACCUGUGGCGAAGGCGGUUUACCAGAACACGUCCGACGGUGAGGGAUGAAAGCUGGGGGAGCAAACCGGAUUAGAUACCCGGGUAGUCCCAGCUGUAAACUAUGCAAACUCAGUGAUGCAUUGGCUUGUGGCCAAUGCAGUGCUGCAGGGAAGCCGUUAAGUUUGCCGCCUGGGAAGUACGUACGCAAGUAUGAAACUUAAAGGAAUUGGCGGGGGAGCAC
RNAcentral lists this ribosomal RNA (794 nucleotides) under uncultured crenarchaeote. RNAcentral's name for it is "bacterial SSU rRNA". It matches the Rfam family "Archaeal small subunit ribosomal RNA", at positions 85 to 879 of the family's 1478-position model. Lineage: Archaea; Thermoproteati; Thermoproteota. The record is from RNAcentral.